RNAcentral lists this unclassified non-coding RNA (956 nucleotides) under Hevea brasiliensis (rubber tree). The record is from RNAcentral. Lineage: Eukaryota; Viridiplantae; Streptophyta; Magnoliopsida; Malpighiales; Euphorbiaceae.
GUGAAAUUCAAGUACACUGUAACCUGACCUUAAACAAUUAUCAUUACAUUCACAACACUGAACUAACUACAUAUGGACAUCUCUCUAUCUCUAACUAUGGAGAGAGACACAUGGGAACGAACAACAUUUCUUGACAAUCGACAUAAUUGGCCUACAUGCAAAAAUUGAACUGCCUAUAUUGCAUUCGAGGUAGCAAUUUAGAGACAUUUCUUUCUGCAAUGGCAUCUUUAUGUGGCUCUAUUUCUGCUGCUGCUAGUGCCAGUACAUAAUUAGCAACAAAACUUCCAAGGGAUGUGGAGCUAGUGGAUUGAUGACGAGAAUGCGGAAAAAAUAUGAACUAAAUCAAUGAUCAUAGUGAAAGACAUUGUACCCUAUCAGGGAGAUUUUGAGGCAUUGGGAACGCAGUUACGUAUCUUUGCAGAAAAGGUUUAUGGCUAUGUGCAGAAGCAUCUGUUGAAGAUGACUCAGCACCACCGGAUUGCCCCCGACCAUGAAACCUUGCAAAUCGAUAGAAGACUGAGAACUUCUCCAGCUCUUGUCCUUCAACUAUCACAUCUAAUAGAGACGCUCUCUUGUCCAAACUCACAAAGUUACUUUCUAACUUCCUAGCUUUUCCCAUCAACUCAUCCAUAGCUCUGCCGAAGUGAUGUCUAUCAUUUCUCUCAGAUGCCUUGCACUUGUCAGGAAGAUGUUCUUUGCCAUCAUGAGGCAUAUUGGUAUCAGCGUUCAAGCAAGAGACCAUGCUGCAUGCAUCCCCCAAUGCCAAUCUGGAAAUGGAGUAAGCCACACUCUCAUACUCCGAUUUAGCAUCAGCAAAUAGAAUUGCUGCGGGCGGAGGAUAAAAUAGUUGCUGCAUAAGCUGAGUGGUCAACAUAAGCCUUCUUCUAGCCUUAAGCCUUGGUGGCCCAUCAUCAAAAGAAUCAAUUUCUUUAACCUUUUCAGUAAGCCUAUUAACU